Molecule: ribosomal RNA, 271 nt
Filed under: uncultured prokaryote
Description: partial 16S ribosomal RNA
Rfam family: Bacterial small subunit ribosomal RNA
Source: RNAcentral
UACGUAGGUGGCGAGCGUUGUCCGGAUUUACUGGGCGUAAAGGGAGCGUAGGCGGACUUUUAAGUGAGAUGUGAAAUACCCGGGCUCAACUUGGGUGCUGCAUUUCAAACUGGAAGUCUAGAGUGCAGGAGAGGAGAAUGGAAUUCCUAGUGUAGCGGUGAAAUGCGUAGAGAUUAGGAGGAACACCAGUAGCGAAGGCGGCUCUCUGGACUGUAACUGACGCUGAGGCACGAAAGCGUGGGGAGCAAACAGGAUUAGAUACCCCCGUAGU